CAGUCGAGCGGUAGAGAGAAGCUUGCUUCUCUUGAGAGCGGCGGACGGGUGAGUAAUGCCUAGGAAUCUGCCUGGUAGUGGGGGAUAACGUUCGGAAACGGACGCUAAUACCGCAUACGUCCUACGGGAGAAAGCAGGGGACCUUCGGGCCUUGCGCUAUCAGAUGAGCCUAGGUCGGAUUAGCUAGUUGGUGGGGUAAUGGCUCACCAAGGCGACGAUCCGUAACUGGUCUGAGAGGAUGAUCAGUCACACUGGAACUGAGACACGGUCCAGACUCCUACGGGAGGCAGCAGUGGGGAAUAUUGGACAAUGGGCGAAAGCCUGAUCCAGCCAUGCCGCGUGUGUGAAGAAGGUCUUCGGAUUGUAAAGCACUUUAAGUUGGGAGGAAGGGUUGUAGAUUAAUACUCUGCAAUUUUGACGUUACCGACAGAAUAAGCACCGGCUAACUCUGUGCCAGCAGCCGCGGUAAUACAGAGGGUGCAAGCGUUAAUCGGAAUUACUGGGCGUAAAGCGCGCGUAGGUGGUUUGUUAAGUUGGAUGUGAAAUCCCCGGGCUCAACCUGGGAACUGCAUUCAAAACUGACUGACUAGAGUAUGGUAGAGGGUGGUGGAAUUUCCUGUGUAGCGGUGAAAUGCGUAGAUAUAGGAAGGAACACCAGUGGCGAAGGCGACCACCUGGACUAAUACUGACACUGAGGUGCGAAAGCGUGGGGAGCAAACAGGAUUAG
Molecule: ribosomal RNA, 727 nt
Filed under: Pseudomonas sp. Y4_367
Lineage: Bacteria; Pseudomonadati; Pseudomonadota; Gammaproteobacteria; Pseudomonadales; Pseudomonadaceae
Description: bacterial SSU rRNA
Rfam family: Bacterial small subunit ribosomal RNA
Source: RNAcentral